This 364-nucleotide ribosomal RNA is filed under the name Pygeum sp. BB1026. RNAcentral's name for it is "eukaryotic LSU rRNA". The stretch from base 255 to 364 matches the Rfam family "Eukaryotic large subunit ribosomal RNA", at positions 1 to 110 of the family's 3401-position model. Lineage: Eukaryota; Viridiplantae; Streptophyta; Magnoliopsida; Rosales; Rosaceae. The record is from RNAcentral.
CGCCCGAAGCCAUUAGGCCGAGGGCACGCCUGCCUGGGCGUCACACGCCGUCGCCCCCCCGACCAAUCCCUCGGGACUGCGGGGGGCGGAUGAUGGCCUCCCGCGCGCCCCGUCGCGCGGUUGGCACAAAUGCCAAGUCCUCGGCGGCGCACGCCACGACAAUCGGUGGUUGCGAGACCUCGGUUGCCCGUCGUGCGCGGUCGUCGCGCAUCGAGGGCUCGAAAAACUGCCCGGCUCCGGCUCGGCUUUCAACGCGACCCCAGGUCAGGCGGGGUUACCCGCUGAAUUUAAGCAUAUCAAUAAGCGGAGGAAAAGAAACUUACGAGGAUUCCCCUAGUAACGGCGAGCGAACCGGGAACAGCCC